Molecule: ribosomal RNA, 427 nt
Filed under: uncultured bacterium
Lineage: Bacteria
Description: partial 16S ribosomal RNA
Rfam family: Bacterial small subunit ribosomal RNA
Source: RNAcentral
UGGGGAAUAUUGCACAAUGGGCGCAAGCCUGAUGCAGCCAUGCCGCGUGUAUGAAGAAGGCCUUCGGGUUGUAAAGUACUUUCAGCGGGGAGGAAGGCGAUAAGGUUAAUAACCUUGUCGAUUGACGUUACCCGCAGAAGAAGCACCGGCUAACUCCGUGCCAGCAGCCGCGGUAAUACGGAGGGUGCAAGCGUUAAUCGGAAUUACUGGGCGUAAAGCGCACGCAGGCGGUCUGUCAAGUCGGAUGUGAAAUCCCCGGGCUCAACCUGGGAACUGCAUUCGAAACUGGCAGGCUAGAGUCUUGUAGAGGGGGGUAGAAUUCCAGGUGUAGCGGUGAAAUGCGUAGAGAUCUGGAGGAAUACCGGUGGCGAAGGCGGCCCCCUGGACAAAGACUGACGCUCAGAUGCGAAAGCGUGGGGAGCAAACA